UAAGGGCAUUCGGUGGAUGCCUUGGCGACAAGAGGCGAUGAAAGACGUGAUACGCUGCGAUAAGCCAUGGGGAGCUGCGAAUAAGCUUUGAUCCGUGGAUUUCUGAAUGGGGCAACCCACUCCGUAUGGAGUACCCUUUAAUGGGAGCAAACCCGGGGAACUGAAACAUCUAAGUACCCGGAGGAAAGGACAUCAACCGAGACUCCGCUAGUAGUGGCGAGCGAACGCGGACCAGGCCAGUGCCUCAAUUGAAUUAACCGGAACCGUCUGGAAAGUCGGGCCUUAGUGGGUGAUAGCCCCGUACGGGUGUUGUGAGAUUGAGGACUUGAGUAGGGCGGGACACGUGAAAUCCUGUCUGAACAUGGGGGGACCACCCUCCAAGCCUAAGUACUCCUUGUCGACCGAUAGCGAACAAGUACCGUGAGGGAAAGAUGAAAAGAACUUUGAAAAGAGAGUCAAAAGUGCUUGAAAUUGUUGAGG
This 480-nucleotide ribosomal RNA is filed under the name Chrysotila carterae. RNAcentral describes it as "partial Bacterial large subunit ribosomal RNA". It matches the Rfam family "Bacterial large subunit ribosomal RNA", at positions 22 to 558 of the family's 2925-position model. Lineage: Eukaryota; Haptophyta; Isochrysidales; Isochrysidaceae. The record is from RNAcentral.